ACGGGUGAGUAACGCGUAGACAACCUACCUUCUAGAUGGGGACAACACCGCGAAAGUGGUGCUAAUACCGAAUGUUGUGCGGGGGCUGCAUAGCUUCCACACUAAAGGUGGCCUCUAUUUAUAAGCUACCGCUAGAAGACGGGUCUGCGUCUGAUUAGCUAGUAGGCGGGGUAAAAGCCCACCUAGGCGACGAUCAGUAGCCGGUCUGAGAGGAUGAACGGCCACACUGGGACUGAGACACGGCCCAGACUUCUACGGGAGGCAGCAGUGGGGAAUCUUCCGCAAUGGACGAAAGUCUGACGGAGCAACGCCGCGUGAGUGACGAAGGCCUUCGGGUUGUAAAGCUCUGUUGUCAGGGAAGAACACUUUGCUUGUGAAUAAUGAGCAGAGAUGACGGUACCUGACGAGGAAGCCACGGCUAACUACGUGCCAGCAGCCGCGGUAAUACGUAGGUGGCGAGCGUUGUCCGGAAUUAUUGGGCGUAAAGCGCGCGCAGGCGGGAAAGUAAGUCUACUCUAAAAGUGCGGGGCUCAACCCCGUGAUGGGGUGGAAACUGCUUUUCUUGAGUGCCGGAGAGGAAAGUGGAAUU
RNAcentral lists this ribosomal RNA (589 nucleotides) under uncultured bacterium. RNAcentral describes it as "bacterial SSU rRNA". It matches the Rfam family "Bacterial small subunit ribosomal RNA", at positions 102 to 668 of the family's 1533-position model. The record is from RNAcentral.